Long non-coding RNA from Carassius gibelio (silver crucian carp), 1383 nucleotides. RefSeq lists it as uncharacterized. The record is from RefSeq and is a predicted model, not a curated record. NCBI's taxonomy places the organism in Eukaryota, Metazoa, Chordata, Actinopteri, Cypriniformes, Cyprinidae. The transcript is spliced from 4 exons.
GUAGCUGAACUUCAUAAUCAUACACAACUUCAUUAACUAGCCAUUAGGGAGGUGAAAACUGAAGAUUAUUACCAUGAAAAUCGUUACAGCUGUGGUUAUUCUAGGCUGCCUGCUUGUUGUAGAGGUGGAAGGCCAGGCUAGAUUUCUGAAGGGCAGGUGUUUUUGUGCUGACAAAGGUGUGAACAUGGUUCUUUCAAAACUGAUUGAGAAGAUUUAAAUUAUUUCACCAAGUCCCUCUUGUAAAACCCAGGAGAUUGUUGUUACUCUGAAAAAUAGAAGGCAGAAAUGCUUGAAUCCAGAAUCUAAAUUCAUACAGAAAUACAUCAUGAAGGCUGUUGAAAACAGGAGUCUGCAGAAGAAAUAGCCUGCAGAUGAAUGAGCUAUUGUAAAGUGAAGAACAUGUGAUAUCAGCACCCUACAAUCAGUAAACAACAUCCUUCAGAUAAAUCUUGAACUGAAAUUUUUCAUGUAAAUGUUUCCUCAAUGUUUGCUUAAUGUAAAUCUGUUUUUCUUCUAAUAAACAUAAUCAUUAAUCGCUGUUAUGCAUUUUAAAGUAGUAAUGCAAAACAUGCCUGAUUAUAUGUACAGUCGUGCAAAAUAAAGCUUUUGUUGACAUUUCAUAAUUUUUUUAAUUUUUUUUUAUUUAUGGUCAUUCUAUAGAGCAUAGAUUUAAAAAAAAAAAAAAACUAAAUGUUAUUAUAAGUAGCCUGUUUGGAAGAAAUAUUAUAUUACUAAAUCUGUGAAAUGUGAACCUUAAUUUUUAAACAUAGAUUUAGGUUUGCACAUUAAGUCUAAAAAGUAAUCUUGAAAUGCAAAAUGGUAAAGCUAUACAAAAAAAUUUUCGAGUAUGGCUCUGUGUGACGUUAGAUGGAGCGGAAUUUCCUUAUAUGGGUGCUAAGAGCACUUCUGCCGGAAGAGCGCGCGCUCCCGUAUAGCAGAGCACUGUGAGGCUGAGCACAGACAUUCAUUCACUCACUGAUCAGAGCGAGAGCGUUGCGAAAUGUCACAAAAGAAGUGUGUUUUUAUUUGCCAGGGCAAGACAACCCUGCACAGAUUACCAAAAAAAAACAGCAUUAAGGGACCAGUGGAUGGAGUUUAUUUUUACAGAGCAUCAACGCAGUUGUGCAAGUGUUUGUGUUUGUUCCCUGCAUUUCGAAGAUGCUUGUUUUACAAACAAGGCCCAGUUUGACGACGGAUUUGCGUAUCGUUUAUUUCUUAAGGAUGAUGCAAUCCCAACGAAGAAGGGUCACGAUCGUGUGUUGGAACCGCAGGCGGUGAGUAAAACUGCUUAAAAUAUCUCUGCCUCCUUGUUAGUGCGUCCCCUCCCAUGCCGGAGACCCGGGUUCGAGCCCCGCACGGAGCGAGUCGUUUCUGCUGCUGCUC